ACGGAAGGCAGCAGUGGGGAAUAUUGGGCAAUGGGCGAAAGCCUGACCCAGCAACGCCGCGUGAAGGAAGAGGGUCUUCGGAUUGUAAACCUCUUUUAUGAGGGACGAAGGACGUGACGGUACCUCAUGAAUAAGCCACGGCUAACUACGUGCCAGCAGCCGCGGUAAUACGUAGGUGGCAAGCGUUAUCCGGAUUUACUGGGUGUAAAGGGCGCGUAGGCGGGGGUGCAAGUCAGAUGUGAAAUCUAUGGGCUCAACUCAUAAACUGCAUUUGAAACUGUAUCUCUUGAGUGCUGGAGAGGUAGAUGGAAUUCCUUGUGUAGCGGUGAAAUGCGUAGAUAUAAGGAAGAACACCAGUGGCGAAGUCGAUCUACUGGACAGUAACUGACGCUGAGGCGCGAGAGCGUGGGGAGCAAACAGGAUUAGAUACCCUGGUA
This is a ribosomal RNA of 437 nucleotides. It matches the Rfam family "Bacterial small subunit ribosomal RNA", at positions 341 to 792 of the family's 1533-position model.